GCGACCCCAGGUCAGACGG
RNAcentral lists this ribosomal RNA (19 nucleotides) under Deschampsia ovata. Its description in RNAcentral is "partial 26S ribosomal RNA". Lineage: Eukaryota; Viridiplantae; Streptophyta; Magnoliopsida; Poales; Poaceae. The record is from RNAcentral.